RNAcentral lists this unclassified non-coding RNA (191 nucleotides) under Gomphrena brachystylis subsp. brachystylis. RNAcentral describes it as "ITS2". The record is from RNAcentral. Lineage: Eukaryota; Viridiplantae; Streptophyta; Magnoliopsida; Caryophyllales; Amaranthaceae.
NNNNNNNNUCUCACCAAUCCCACCAUAUAAUAUGGGUAAGGAGAGGAUGAUGGCCUCACAUGUCACACUUGGCGUGGAUGGCUUAAAAGAGGAGCCUUUUGGUUACUAGAUGCCAUGGCGAUUGGUGGUAUAAGCUUCUCGUUAUGGAAUAAGUAGCAUAUUUGGCAUCGUAGGACCCUUUGUUAACCUUU